Molecule: small nucleolar RNA, 133 nt
Organism: Apodemus sylvaticus (European woodmouse)
Lineage: Eukaryota; Metazoa; Chordata; Mammalia; Rodentia; Muridae
Product: small nucleolar RNA SNORA17
Exons: 1
Source: RefSeq, a predicted model, not a curated record
CUUGAACUCAAUAAGCCAAUUAAAAGUGGCUGCUGUGUCACAUAUGCAUCAGUAGAUGACAGAGAGGAGAGAGGCUAUGUCUAUGCUCAGUGUUCUGACCUGUGAACAUUUGAAUGAUUAGUAGACUAACAUU